CUUUGACGUUAGCGGCGGACGGGUGAGUAACACGUGGGUAACCUACCUAUAAGACUGGGAUAACUUCGGGAAACCGGAGCUAAUACCGGAUAAUAUUUCGAACCGCAUGGUUCGAUAGUGAAAGAUGGUUUUGCUAUCACUUAUAGAUGGACCCGCGCCGUAUUAGCUAGUUGGUAAGGUAACGGCUUACCAAGGCGACGAUACGUAGCCGACCUGAGAGGGUGAUCGGCCACACUGGAACUGAGACACGGUCCAGACUCCUACGGGAGGCAGCAGGG
This 278-nucleotide ribosomal RNA is filed under the name uncultured Staphylococcus sp. Its description in RNAcentral is "partial 16S ribosomal RNA". It matches the Rfam family "Bacterial small subunit ribosomal RNA", at positions 84 to 354 of the family's 1533-position model. The record is from RNAcentral. Lineage: Bacteria; Bacillati; Bacillota; Bacilli; Caryophanales; Staphylococcaceae.